UACGAAGGGGGCGAGCGUUGUUCGGAUUUACUGGGCGUAAAGGGCGCGCAGGCGGUUCUGUUUGUCAGGCGUGAAAUCUCACGGCUUAACUGUGAGCGUGCGGGCGAUACGGGCAGACUGGAGUACUGCAGGGGAGACUGGAAUUCCUGGUGUAGCGGUGGAAUGCGCAGAUAUCAGGAGGAACACCGGUGGCGAAGGCGGGUCUCUGGGCAGUAACUGACGCUGAGGAGCGAAAGCGUGGGGAGCGAACAGG
RNAcentral lists this ribosomal RNA (253 nucleotides) under uncultured bacterium. RNAcentral's name for it is "partial 16S ribosomal RNA". It matches the Rfam family "Bacterial small subunit ribosomal RNA", at positions 524 to 776 of the family's 1533-position model. The record is from RNAcentral.